RNAcentral lists this ribosomal RNA (497 nucleotides) under uncultured bacterium. Its description in RNAcentral is "partial 16S ribosomal RNA". It matches the Rfam family "Bacterial small subunit ribosomal RNA", at positions 28 to 507 of the family's 1533-position model. The record is from RNAcentral.
GACGAACGCUGGCGGCGUGCCUAAUACAUGCCAGUUGAGCGCUGAAGGUUGGUACUUGUACCAACUGGAUGAGCAGCGAACGGGUGAGUAACGCGUGGGGAAUCUGCCUUUGAGCGGGGGACAACAUUUGGAAACGAAUGCUAAUACCGCAUAAAAACUUUAAACACAAGUUUUAAGUUUGAAAGAUGCAAUUGCAUCACUCAAAGAUGAUCCCGCGUUGUAUUAGCUAGUUGGUGAGGUAAAGGCUCACCAAGGCGAUGAUACAUAGCCGACCUGAGAGGGUGAUCGGCCACAUUGAGACUGAGACACGGCCCAAACGCCUACGGGAGGCAGCAGUAGGGAAUCUUCGGCAAUGGACGAAAGUCUGACCGAGCAACGCCGCGUGAGUGAAGAAGGUUUUCGGAUCGUAAAACUCUGUUGGUAGAGAAGAACGUUGGUGAGAGUGGAAAGCUCAUCAAGUGACGGUAACUACCCAGAAAGGGACGGCUAACUACGUG